UGGGGGAUAUUGCACAAUGGGGGAAGCCCUGAUGCAGCGACGCCGCGUGAGGGAAGAAGGUUUUCGGAUUGUAAACCUCUGUCUUUGGUGACGAGAAUGACGGUAGCCAAGGAGGAAGCCACGGCUAACUACGUGCCAGCAGCCGCGGUAAUACGUAGGUGGCAAGCGUUGUCCGGAAUUACUGGGUGUAAAGGGAGCGUAGGCGGGGCGACAAGUUGGAUGUCAAAACUAUCGGCUUAACCGGUAUCAGCAUUCAAACUGCCGCUCUUGAGUGGAGUAGAGGUAAGCGGAAUUCCUAGUGUAGCGGUGAAAUGCGUAAAUAUUAGGAGGAACACCAGUGGCGAAGGCGGCUUACUGGGCUUUAACUGACGCUGAGGCUCGAAAGCGUGGGUAGCAAACAGGAUUAGAUACC
Molecule: ribosomal RNA, 412 nt
Filed under: uncultured bacterium
Lineage: Bacteria
Description: bacterial SSU rRNA
Rfam family: Bacterial small subunit ribosomal RNA
Source: RNAcentral